Molecule: ribosomal RNA, 479 nt
Filed under: uncultured bacterium
Lineage: Bacteria
Description: partial 16S ribosomal RNA
Rfam family: Bacterial small subunit ribosomal RNA
Source: RNAcentral
GACGAACGCUGGCGGCGUGCUUAACACAUGCAAGUCGAACGAUGAAGAAAAGACUCGAAGCUUCGGCAGAAAUUCAUUUCGGAUUAGUGGCAGACGGGUGAGUAACGCGUGAGCAACCUACCUCUUACAAAGGGAUAGCCUCGGGAAACCGGGAUUAAUACCAUAUAACAUUGCGACGAAGCAUUUCGAUGCAAUCAAAGCUACGGCGGUAAGAGAUGGGCUCGCGUCCCAUUAACCGGAUGGUGAGGUAACGGCUCACCAUAGUGACGAUGGGUAACCGGCCUGAGAGGGUGAACGGUCACACUGGAACUGAGACACGGUCCAGACUCCUACGGGAGGCAGCAGUGGGGAAUAUUGCACAAUGGAGGGAACUCUGAUGCAGCGACGCCGCGUGAGUGAUGAAGGAAUUCGUUUCGUAAAACUCUGUUCUAUGGGAAGAAAAGGACUGUACCAUAGGAGAAAGCUCCGGCUAAAUACGU